GGACCUUUAGCUCAGUUGGUUAGAGCAACCGGCUCAUAACCGGUCGGUCCUGGGUUCGAGUCCCCGAAGGUCCAUCA
RNAcentral lists this transfer RNA (77 nucleotides) under bacterium 0.1xD8-71. Its description in RNAcentral is "tRNA-Met". It matches the Rfam family "tRNA". From Rfam's summary of the family: Transfer RNA (tRNA) molecules are approximately 80 nucleotides in length. Their secondary structure includes four short double-helical elements and three loops (D, anti-codon, and T loops). Further hydrogen bonds mediate the characteristic L-shaped molecular structure. tRNAs have two regions of fundamental functional importance: the anti-codon, which is responsible for specific mRNA codon recognition, and the 3' end, to which the tRNAs corresponding amino acid is attached (by aminoacyl-tRNA synthetases). tRNAs cope with the degeneracy of the genetic code in two manners: having more than one tRNA (with a specific anti-codon) for a particular amino acid; and 'wobble' base-pairing, i.e. permitting non-standard base-pairing at the 3rd anti-codon position. The record is from RNAcentral.